CAGCAGCCGCGGUAAUACGAAGGGUGCAAGCGUUACUCGGAAUUACUGGGCGUAAAGCGUGCGUAGGUGGUGGUUUAAGUCCGUUGUGAAAGCCCUGGGCUCAACCUGGGAAUUGCAGUGGAUACUGGGUCACUAGAGUGUGGUAGAGGAUAGUGGAAUUUCCGGUGUAGCAGUGAGAUGCGUAGAGAUCGGAAGGAACAUCUGUGGCGAAGGCGACUAUCUGGGCCAACACUGACACUGAGGCACGAAAGCGUGGGGAGCAAACAGGAUUAGAUACCCCUGUAGUCCCUGUCUCUUAUAC
RNAcentral lists this ribosomal RNA (301 nucleotides) under uncultured bacterium. RNAcentral's name for it is "partial 16S ribosomal RNA". It matches the Rfam family "Bacterial small subunit ribosomal RNA", at positions 509 to 807 of the family's 1533-position model. The record is from RNAcentral.